Molecule: ribosomal RNA, 253 nt
Filed under: uncultured bacterium
Lineage: Bacteria
Description: partial 16S ribosomal RNA
Rfam family: Bacterial small subunit ribosomal RNA
Source: RNAcentral
UACGAAGGGUGCAAGCGUUACUCGGAAUUACUGGGCGUAAAGCGUGCGUAGGUGGUUUGUUAAGUCUGAUGUGAAAGCCCUGGGCUCAACCUGGGAAUUGCAUUGGAUACUGGCAGGCUAGAGUGCGGUAGAGGGUAGUGGAAUUCCCGGUGUAGCAGUGAAAUGCGUAGAGAUCGGGAGGAACAUCUGUGGCGAAGGCGACUACCUGGACCAGCACUGACACUGAGGCACGAAAGCGUGGGGAGCAAACGGG